CGGAGGAAGGUGGGGAUGACGUCAAGUCAUCAUGCCCCUUAUGUCCAGGGCUUCACACAUGCUACAAUGGCCGGUACAAAGGGCUGCGAUGCCGUGAGGUGGAGCGAAUCCCAAAAAGCCGGUCCCAGUUCGGAUUGAGGUCUGCAACUCGACCUCAUGAAGUCGGA
RNAcentral lists this ribosomal RNA (167 nucleotides) under uncultured Actinomycetes bacterium. Its description in RNAcentral is "uncultured actinobacterium partial 16S ribosomal RNA". It matches the Rfam family "Bacterial small subunit ribosomal RNA", at positions 1164 to 1330 of the family's 1533-position model. Lineage: Bacteria; Bacillati; Actinomycetota; Actinomycetes. The record is from RNAcentral.